CUCAGGCUGUGACCCUCCAGAGGGAAGUAUUUUCUGUUGUUGAAGGAAAAGAAAGUGCUUCCCUUUGGACUGUUUCGGUUUGAG
This 84-nucleotide microRNA precursor is filed under the name Cercocebus atys (sooty mangabey). RNAcentral describes it as "miRNA (ENSCATG00000011964.1)". It matches the Rfam family "mir-515 microRNA precursor family". The record is from RNAcentral. Lineage: Eukaryota; Metazoa; Chordata; Mammalia; Primates; Cercopithecidae.